GAAGUGGGGAUGACGUCAAGUCCUCAUGGCCCUUAUGGUAGGGCUUCACACGUCAUCAAUGGUCGGUACAGAGGGUUGCCAACCCGCAGGGGGAGCUAAUCCCACAAAGCCGAUCGUAGUCCGGAUCGCAGUCUGCAACUCGACUGCGUGAAGUCGGAAUCGCUAGUAAUCGUGGAUCAGCAUGUCACGGUGAAUACGUUCCCGGGUCUU
Molecule: ribosomal RNA, 210 nt
Filed under: uncultured Rhodocyclaceae bacterium
Lineage: Bacteria; Pseudomonadati; Pseudomonadota; Betaproteobacteria; Rhodocyclales; Rhodocyclaceae
Description: partial 16S ribosomal RNA
Rfam family: Bacterial small subunit ribosomal RNA
Source: RNAcentral